AUUGAACGCUGGCGGCAUGCCUUACACAUGCAAGUCGAACGGCAGCACGGGUGCUUGCACCUGGUGGCGAGUGGCGAACGGGUGAGUAAUACAUCGGAACAUGUCCUGUAGUGGGGGAUAGCCCGGCGAAAGCCGGAUUAAUACCGCAUACGAUCUACGGAUGAAAGCGGGGGACCUUCGUGCCUCGCGCUAUAGGGUUGGCCGAUGGGUGAUUAGCUAGUUGGUGGGGUAAAGGCCUACCAAGGCGACGAUCAGUAGCUGGUCUGAGAGGACGACCAGCCAAACUGGGACUGAGAAACGGACCAGAAUCCUACGGGAGGCAGCAGUGGGGAAUUUUGGAAAAUGGGCGAAAGCCUGAUCCAGAAAUGCCGCGUGUGUGAAGAAGGCCGUCGGGUUGUAAAGCACUUUUGUCCGGAAAGAAAUCCUUGGCACUAAUACGGUCGGGGGAUGACGGUACCGGAAGAAUAAGCACCGGCUAACUACGU
RNAcentral lists this ribosomal RNA (485 nucleotides) under uncultured bacterium. RNAcentral's name for it is "partial 16S ribosomal RNA". It matches the Rfam family "Bacterial small subunit ribosomal RNA", at positions 30 to 506 of the family's 1533-position model. The record is from RNAcentral.